This 496-nucleotide ribosomal RNA is filed under the name uncultured bacterium. RNAcentral's name for it is "partial 16S ribosomal RNA". It matches the Rfam family "Bacterial small subunit ribosomal RNA", at positions 28 to 506 of the family's 1533-position model. The record is from RNAcentral.
GAUGAACGCUGGCGGCGUGCCUAAUACAUGCAAGUCGAGCGAACAGACGAGGAGCUUGCUCCUCUGACGUUAGCGGCGGACGGGUGAGUAACACGUGGAUAACCUACCUAUAAGACUGGGAUAACUUCGGGAAACCGGAGCUAAUACCGGAUAAUAUAUUGAACCGCAUGGUUCAAUAGUGAAAGACGGUUUUGCUGUCACUUAUAGAUGGAUCCGCGCCGCAUUAGCUAGUUGGUAAGGUAACGGCUUACCAAGGCAACGAUGCGUAGCCGACCUGAGAGGGUGAUCGGCCAAACGGGAACGAGGACACGUCCCAGACUCCUAGGGGAGGCAGAAGUAGGGAAUCUUCCGCAAUGGGCGAAAGCCUGACGGAGCAACGCGGCGUGAGUGAUGAAGGUCUUCGGAUCGUAAAACUCUGUUAUUGGGGAAGAACAAAUGUGUAAGUAACUAUGCACGUCUUGACGGUACCUAAUCAGAAGGCCACGGCUAACUACGG